UGGGGAAUCUUGCGCAAUGGGCGAAAGCCUGACGCAGCCAUGCCGCGUGAAUGAUGAAGGUCUUAGGAUUGUAAAAUUCUUUCACCGGGGAAGAUAAUGACGGUACCCGGAGAAGAAGCCCCGGCUAACUUCGUGCCAGCAGCCGCGGUAAUACGAAGGGGGCUAGCGUUGCUCGGAUUUACUGGGCGUAAAGGGCGCGUAGGCGGACAGUUUAGUCAGAGGUGAAAGCCCGGGGCUCAACCCCGGAAUU
This 250-nucleotide ribosomal RNA is filed under the name uncultured bacterium. RNAcentral's name for it is "partial 16S ribosomal RNA". It matches the Rfam family "Bacterial small subunit ribosomal RNA", at positions 355 to 622 of the family's 1533-position model. The record is from RNAcentral.